Molecule: long non-coding RNA, 738 nt
Filed under: Crocodylus porosus (Australian saltwater crocodile)
Lineage: Eukaryota; Metazoa; Chordata; Crocodylia; Crocodylidae
Description: lncRNA (ENSCPRG00005005003.1)
Source: RNAcentral
AAACUUGCAGAUGCAUCAAACAUUUUAAAUGCCCAACAGCUGUUUGAGCCAGAUAAACCCUUGUUUCCAUUUCUAGGUUAAAAAUAAACUCAGAAUGAAUCUUGUCUUAAUGAAGCCUCUCAUCCAAAUUAUUUUUAAUGUUUCUUCCUUCUUAUUACUUUUUAGGGGAAUAUUCUUAGAAGUCAGAAUAUUUAAGGUAUUUUGUUCUCACAAAACUAAAAAUAAUGAAAAUAUUUUGUAGGCAUUAAAUUAUUAUUCACAUUCACUGCAUUCAAAUUCAUCAAGUGCUUAAAAUAGCUACUGGAAAAGAAAUGAUUCAGCCAUAGUUAUUCUGGAAUAACUCCCCUUGUAUACAUACUAUCUCAGCAUAAAGGGCAGUUUAUCCCAGAAUAAUUAGUGCAUUUCAAAGCACUGAAGAUUUUUUUUUUUUUUUUGCAAUAGCUAUAUCCCUUUUCCCAUAUCUCUGUAUGAAGUUCACAACACUACUCCAGGCAGUCCAUCACAUGGGUGCAGAAGCUCCACAGUGCCAGCAAAAAGAGCCUCUCUGAGACCAGGAAACUUGUACCAAUGGCCAUUCCACUAACAAGAGACCAGGAAAGAGAGGGGCAAGCUAGAGUGUGUAAACCAGAACUCGUACACCAAUUGCCAAACAUCAGACGGACAAGCCAACUCACCAACACUUUCUCCAAGCCAGUUCCUCAAUGGCCAGUCAAUCCCCUUCAGGAUUUCAUUACUUGA